Molecule: ribosomal RNA, 497 nt
Filed under: uncultured bacterium
Lineage: Bacteria
Description: partial 16S ribosomal RNA
Rfam family: Bacterial small subunit ribosomal RNA
Source: RNAcentral
GAUGAACGCUGGCGGCGUGCCUAAUACAUGCAAGUCGAGCGAACAGACGAGGAGCUUGCUCCUCUGACGUUAGCGGCGGACGGGUGAGUAACACGUGGAUAACCUACCUAUAAGACUGGGAUAACUUCGGGAAACCUGAGCUAAUACCGGAUAAUAUAUUGAACCGCAUGGUUCAAUAGUGAAAGACGGUUUUGCUGUCACUUAUAGAUGGAUCCAAGCCGCAUUAGCUAGUUGGUAAGGUAACGGCUUACCAAGGCAACGAUGCGUAGCCGACCUGAGAGGGUGAUCAGCCACACUGGAACUGAGACACGGUCCAGACUCCUACGGGAGGCAGCAGUAGGGAAUCUUCCGCAAUGGGCGAAAGCCUGACGGAGCAACGCCGCGUGAGUGAUGAAGGUCUUCGGAUCGUAAAACUCUGUUAUUAGGGAAGAACAAAUGUGUAAGUAACUAUGCACGUCUUGACGGUACCUAAUCAGAAAGCCACGGCUAACUACGUG